Molecule: long non-coding RNA, 351 nt
Organism: Gossypium raimondii (Peruvian cotton)
Lineage: Eukaryota; Viridiplantae; Streptophyta; Magnoliopsida; Malvales; Malvaceae
Exons: 2
Source: RefSeq, a predicted model, not a curated record
AGGCUAAGUGCCGGUGAUCUAAAUCAGGUUAUAAGCCAAGCAGGCUAAGUGCCGGUGAACUGAAUCAGGCUAUAAGCCUAGCAGGCUAAGUGCCGGUGAACUGAAUCAGGCUAUAAGCCUAGCAGGCUAAGUGCCGGUGAUUUGAAUCAGGCUAUAAGCCUAGCAGGCUAAGUGCCGGUGAUCUGAAUCAGGCUAUAAGCCUAGCAGGCUAAGUGCCAGUGAAUCUGUUUAAAUUAAGUGAUUAUUUGCAUUAGGUAUAUAUAUGAUUUUGGUUAUAUGUAAUGGAUAAAUAUACGAACAUUUGUUUCUAAGUAUUUGAUGAGCAUAUAAACGUUCGAAUCUUUGUGUUCA